AGGAACAUGAAUAGGUGCAUCACCGGUCACUGAGCUAGCAAGCUAAAGUUAGCUAGUUAGUCACAUAAAUGUAUUUUCAUAGCUAUCAUGCUGUCGCUGUUAGCUAGCUAAUGCUAGCAGCGCUAGCUAACCUCAUAUCUGGAUGCCUCACUCUAGUUCCCGAAAGAGAGCAGCAUACUGGCUGCCCAUUCCCAAACCUGAAGCCAACUGUCCCCAGCAGGAAAGACCAGGAAAAGGUGUUGGCUUAAGGUACAACUUCCUAUUGAAGAAAUAUCUGCCAACCUGCUCGGUGGGUGACAGGUAACCGUCUUUCCACCAAGCUGUUCCAGGCCUGGAGUGCCACGCUGGAACUUCCAGAGGCUUGUAGACCUGAAGCAGUGUGAUGUGGUCCUGAUCUGCCACGCCCAGUAGUUCAGCUGCAGUCACAGCAGUCUUCUGCUGUGGUAGUUAAUUUACCGGCUGCACCAAUGCCUACUACACUGGCCGUGAAAGGAGAAACCUUUUGGUAUUCCUUGAUGGAUACAGAUCUUCCAUGCACUCCACCACUGCCUGACAGCCUCACCCAGAAGUGCAUACACGGGGCCUAUCAGAGAUGGGUGGCUGUUAAGGAAAAAUAAAACAUGCACACACACACACAUUAUCCACAAUGUAAAUAAGUUGUAAUUACUUAAUAUUUGCUCCAUUUUAUUUUAGGAUUAUAGAUAUCUACUCCUUUAUAGCCAUUCUCAAUAUCUACAUAAUUACUCAAACUAUCUAUCAAAUCAAAGUGUGAUUGAUAAUAUUGUAAAAGACUAUGGCUUAAUGUGUACAGUUUGAGGAAAUUAUGAGUGCUUUUUUUCUGAGUUGAAAAACAUGCCUCGCUCACACACAUUGGACCCAAUGUAAAUCAGUUGUAAUAACUUGUUUAUUUUAUGUAUGGUUAAUUUUAUUUGAGGAAAAUAUCUGCAAUAAAGUACAUUCACAGUUAAA
This 969-nucleotide long non-coding RNA is filed under the name Salmo salar (Atlantic salmon). RNAcentral describes it as "lncRNA (ENSSSAG00000098182.1)". Lineage: Eukaryota; Metazoa; Chordata; Actinopteri; Salmoniformes; Salmonidae. The record is from RNAcentral.